This 139-nucleotide small nucleolar RNA is filed under the name Triticum aestivum (bread wheat). RNAcentral's name for it is "Small nucleolar RNA Z247". It matches the Rfam family "Small nucleolar RNA Z247". From Rfam's summary of the family: Z247 is a member of the C/D class of snoRNA which contain the C (UGAUGA) and D (CUGA) box motifs. Lineage: Eukaryota; Viridiplantae; Streptophyta; Magnoliopsida; Poales; Poaceae. The record is from Rfam by way of RNAcentral.
CCCCUGGAGGAUGAUCAACUGAUCUCUCACAUCCUUGCGGGGCUCGACAUGGAGUACCAGCCGCUGGUCUCAGCGCUGGAUGCUCGCACCAUCCCGGUCACGCUCGAUGAGCUCUUUGCUCAGAUGAGCAAUUUCGACC